Molecule: ribosomal RNA, 188 nt
Filed under: Pseudoalteromonas sp. XI10
Lineage: Bacteria; Pseudomonadati; Pseudomonadota; Gammaproteobacteria; Alteromonadales; Pseudoalteromonadaceae
Description: partial 16S ribosomal RNA
Rfam family: Bacterial small subunit ribosomal RNA
Source: RNAcentral
UUUAAUUGAAGAGUUUGAUCAUGGCUCAGAUUGAACGCUGGCGGCAGGCCUAACACAUGCAAGUCGAGCGGUAACAGAGAGUAGCUUGCUACUCUGCUGACGAGCGGCGGACGGGUGAGUAAUGCUUGGGAAUAUGCCUUAUGGUGGGGGACAACAGUUGGAAACGACUGCUAAUACCGCAUGAUGUC